Molecule: unclassified non-coding RNA, 215 nt
Filed under: Hevea brasiliensis (rubber tree)
Lineage: Eukaryota; Viridiplantae; Streptophyta; Magnoliopsida; Malpighiales; Euphorbiaceae
Source: RNAcentral
GAGAGAAUAACGAAUCUGUCAUAGGCUCACGCAAUGUAAAAGCCAAAAUUUAAAAUGACCUCCAACGUGAGUAAACAUCAUUUGCAGCCUUCCCCCUUCAACAAAUCAAAAGUAGCAUCAUAACAUAACAAACCAAAAACACAGCCUCCAUGCUGAUAGAACAUCAAACCUAAAGAGUACUCAUGAAGUGCAUUUAUCAAAAGAAGAGAAUCCAU